This is a long non-coding RNA of Coffea eugenioides, 562 nucleotides long. RefSeq lists it as uncharacterized. The transcript has 3 exons. The record is from RefSeq and is a predicted model, not a curated record. NCBI's taxonomy places the organism in Eukaryota, Viridiplantae, Streptophyta, Magnoliopsida, Gentianales, Rubiaceae.
CGAAUGUUGCCUUUUUGCAGACUUUAUUUCUAUGCUUAGUCAUUGCUGAAAUUGUCUAUCAAGAACCGAACUUUGAAGGCAUCUUUUGCUUGAUUGCAGCUGUGCAAAACCCAAGAUUCUUCCUUUGUUCGUUGCUUCUAAGGAUUUAGCUGUGAGCCCAUAAUUUUUUUUCCUCGGUUAAAGCAGGAGGAAGAGGCCUAAUGGAGACAGAAAAUGGAGAUGGCGAAUCCCGGUUGGAAGAAUAUGAAGUAAUGGAGCAGAUUGGCAGAGGAGCUUUUGGAGUAGCAUUACUUGUUUUGCAUAAAAUUGAGAAAAAGAAGAUAAUGUGGAGGCCAAGAUUCACACGAUCUUAUAAAUUGAUAGGCUACCUACCUCUGUGUGGAGGAAGAUUAGCUCGAGGUGCAGAUUGCAAGGAUAAGUACGGAGGGGGUCAAUUGAAAUGACCUCAAUUAUUAAGGGCCAGAGUAGAUUUAAUCUCUUUUUCUUUUUUUCUUUUUUUCUGUGAGUAAAAGUAAAAAGUGAAGAAGGUCAGAGAAGAAGUAAAGAUAUUUAUUAGUGCUUG